GACGAACGCUGGCGGCGUGCCUAAUACAUGCAAGUAGAACGCACAGUUUAUACCGUAGCUUGCUACACCAUAGACUGUGAGUUGCGAACGGGUGAGUAACGCGUAGGUAACCUGCCUGGUAGCGGGGGAUAACUAUUGGAAACGAUAGCUAAUACCGCAUAAUAUUAAUUAUUGCAUGAUAAUUAAUUGAAAGGUGCAAUUGCACCACUACCAGAUGGACCUGCGUUGUAUUAGCUAGUAGGUGAGGUAACGGCUCACCUAGGCGACGAUACAUAGCCGACCUGAGAGGGUGAUCGGCCACACUGGGACUGAGACACGGCCCAGACUCCUACGGGAGGCAGCAGUAGGGAAUCUUCGGCAAUGGACGAAAGUCUGACCGAGCAACGCCGCGUGAGUGAAGAAGGUUUUCGGAUCGUAAAGCUCUGUUGUAAGAGAAGAACGGGUGUGAGAGUGGAAAGUUCACACUGUGACGGUAUCUUACCAGAAAGGGACGGCUAACUACGU
RNAcentral lists this ribosomal RNA (504 nucleotides) under uncultured bacterium. Its description in RNAcentral is "partial 16S ribosomal RNA". It matches the Rfam family "Bacterial small subunit ribosomal RNA", at positions 28 to 506 of the family's 1533-position model. The record is from RNAcentral.